AUCCAGUCGACGAGUCCCGAAUAGGACGAAACGCACAUCCGGGAU
RNAcentral lists this non-coding RNA (45 nucleotides) under Schistosoma mansoni. Lineage: Eukaryota; Metazoa; Platyhelminthes; Trematoda; Strigeidida; Schistosomatidae. The record is from RNAcentral.